This 443-nucleotide ribosomal RNA is filed under the name uncultured bacterium. Its description in RNAcentral is "partial 16S ribosomal RNA". It matches the Rfam family "Bacterial small subunit ribosomal RNA", at positions 338 to 795 of the family's 1533-position model. The record is from RNAcentral.
CCUACGGGAGGCAGCAGUGGGGAAUAUUGGGCAAUGGGCGCAAGCCUGACCCAGCAACGCCGCGUGAAGGAAGAAGGCUUUCGGGUUGUAAACUUCUUUUCUGAGGGACGAAGAAAGUGACGGUACCUCAGGAUUAGGCCACGGCUAACUACGUGCCAGCAGCCGUGGUAAUACGUAGGUGGGAAGCGUUAUCCGGAUUUAUUGGGUGUAAGGGGCGUGUAGGCGGGAAAGCAAGUCAGAUGUGAAAACUCAGGGCUCAACCCUGAGCCUGCAUUUGAAACUGUUUUUCUUGAGUGCUGGAGAGGCAAUCGGAAUUCCGAGUGUAGCGGUGAAAUGCGUAGAUAUACGGAGGAACACCAGUGGCGAAGGCGGAUUGCUGGACAGUAACUGACGCUGAGGCGCGAAAGCGUGGGGAGCAAACAGGAUUAGAUACCCCAGUAGUC